RNA transcript from Pieris napi, 5346 nucleotides. It is a transcript of the gene named protein male-specific lethal-1-like, with no coding region annotated. The transcript is spliced from 12 exons. The record is from RefSeq and is a predicted model, not a curated record. NCBI's taxonomy places the organism in Eukaryota, Metazoa, Arthropoda, Insecta, Lepidoptera, Pieridae.
GAUGAGGCGUUAGGGUUAGGCCAUCGUAGAGCGAAAGCUUUGCAUGAAAGCAUUAGUACAUCACUUGUUAUUUGUUCAAUGUUUUAAAGGAAAUUUAGCUUUUUUUCUGAUUGUAUAAAAAAAUACAAUCAAAAUACCACGGAGUAGUAUAACUGCAAGUGUAAUCAUUUAUUGUGUGUGUGGUUGAGUGUUAAAUUAUUGGUGUAAUGCAUAGACGUAAAAUUUCCGCCGGGCUUCGGCGGUUUUCGCCGUGUUUCGCCCAGCUGUAAUGUUUCGGCCGUAAAAGACAUAAAGACAUAUGAGGUUUGACAGCCGGUAGGCUUGCUUCGGUUUGUUACAUUUAUUUUCUUUAAAAAUGAACAGUCGCAAUAGUGUGAAUAAAAAUAAUUUGAUGAAUUUUUCGACUGGAUUGACGACACUUAAUCAGUUGGACCCUAAGGAUGAUCUCGUGAGGUUUCCUUUUGACCAUAUUUACGCGUGCCAUUCGGAUCCUGGACGAAGAACUGUUCUUCCUCUUGAUAAGCAAGUGGAACAAGCAUCACGAUUGGUAGUAGCAGAAAAAGAAGACAAAUAUUUUAACUUGAAUAAAAUCCAUGAGCACCUGAACGCCUUAGAACUAAAAAAUAAGCGUUUGAAAGAUUUACUAAUUUACCAUUUAGAGUUAGUACAACAACAAAACGAGGCGAUCACAAAGAAAGACAAAUUAUAUCAAGUACUGAAAUUAGAGAAUAAUGCGCUCAAGGCAAAAUUAGUUGGUACUUUUGGAUUAAGUAUUGCUUGUGAUCCACACGAAAUGACAUACCACCCACCUGAACCCACAUCCACUGUCACGUCUGAAACAAUAAGCCAGAAAUCUCCACAGAUUGUCGAUUUCUAUCCAGCUGUCACGAGCCACAGGUCGCCGGAAAGAAAAAAUGACCUAAAAGAAAUUUUUGAGCGAGCACGAAUCUCUGCACAAGCACUCAUUGAAAAACAUAAUAGAGAAAUAGCCGCAGGAGCAAACUACGCACAUCUAAAAACGUGUGCCGGCCAAAUGAUUGAAAACAAACGUUCCGUGAUGAAGAAGGCGAACUGUAAGGAGCCACAGAGCCAGGCUAAGCCGCGACAAGCCAUGAAUAGGAAAGCGUCUCCUAAGACCAAUCCUAUGGUUCAAAGAAAGAAGCGGAAAAGUACUAGCAAAUCGACCAGGUGCCGCUCAAAGCAGCAAAUUGAAACGCCGCAAGCUGUUGCGGUUGGGAAAAGCUACCAGAGUCCUGUAUUUAAAAAAGCCUUCAAGUACAAAUCGACAGGAUCUCUUGCUCACUGCUUACGACUAAUCGAUACUAUCCCGACAGGAGAAGACCCAUAUCAAUUAGGGGAAGCCGAAUUUCAAGAAGUCCAAGAGAAUCCAAUUCUGAAACGCAAGACGGCGUCCCAUUUAUUUGUGAACAAAAAGAGAAAGAGUGCCCUCGAGGAUAUAGUGUCUGAUAGUGAGGAGUGUGAAGUUGAUAUAUUAAACGUAACGCCGGACAUGGAAUCUAAAGAAAACCUGGGCUACCCGAUUGACCCGACGGAACCAGUGUUGGAACAAUCGCUCAGUAUAGAAGAACUUCAUGACUCACUUAGCCAGGCGACACGACACAUGCAGACCGAAGAGCAACCGAGCACGUCUCGUGGAAAAAAGCGGGCUCUUUCCACCACUGGUAUCAGCAAAGAAACUAAAAAGCCACGUGCUAAAAGAGUGAAGAGGUCGCCUCCCCCCGGCUUUUCAGUACAUGAACCGUUCCACACUCUAAUCGGAGACCCAGAAUGUGAUUGGUGCGUCACUCUAGCGACUGGAGUUAAUAGCGAACUAUUCGACCCUGAUCUAGCCUUAUUAAACAAUGUCGAGGUACCGCAAUGGCGCGAAAAUAAAUACGAGCCCGACACCCAUUGUGUUUGUGCUGAAUUUGUAAAUGAUAAGACGUAUGAGAAACGUCACAAUAAACACGAAACAGAGGAAAGGCGCCAGUUGAGGGAAGGACACGUCGACGGUAAACCCUGUUGCUUAAAAAUAAUAGAAGACCUGCAUCUGUAAUCUCAUACGCCUUUUAUAUUCUAAGGUGAACUCAAAGUUAGAAAUUUUUAUAAAGGGGUUGCUGACGUCACUCAGUUUUUCACAACGUUAUGUCAACUAUGUAUAUAAUAUUAAAAAAUAAAGUUUACUUAUUUGCGUCUUCACGUCUUUACGAGUUCUUUGAAAUAAGGAAAGUACUCGUAGGCUAAACGGCGUAAGCAGUGACAAUAGUAAAUUAUUCGGGCACAAAUAACAGGCGUACAAAAUUUUAUUGUUUUAUUUAGUCGUGUAAAAACCAGAAAAUUCUUCAGAAAAAGCUCCGUGAAGAGAUAAAAUAAGUGAAUUAUUAAAAUGUUUUUUUUACGUGUAUUGAAACAUAAACAUAUUUGUUAUGAUAAAUAAAUUUAAUUUAAUUUUACGUUAGAAGUCGCUUCGUGGCUUUUUAUAAAGAAGGUUAUUUAUUAUUUUGUGGUUUUUCUAUCUUCUUUCGUAAGACUUGUGCUAUUUCAUAAUUUUCGUUCAAUACUCAACAUUUCUAAUUCUUACUAAAUAACAAAAAAUAAUUGCUUUCCCUUUUUUUAUGUUCUUUUAAAUUUUGCAUUGCUUUGCUAUAACUACGAUAGAUCUACCAUUAUUUACAAAUAAAAAUAAAAAUGGAGACGUGAUUUGCGGUCUUAUAUUGUGUCAGCAAUAACCCUUUGUUUAAACAUUACAUCUUGUGAUUCACCUUAGAGUAUAGUUGACAUCCAAAGGCCCACAGAAAUUUCAUGUUGCCAUGGGUUCGCACUUCGAAAGCGUUAAAACGCGCUAAACGUUCCAAAACGUUACAUUAAUGUAAGAACGGUAUAAACGUCAAAUAUGCAUUUAUAUGAGCACUUUAGUGUAGCGUGACUGGGUUUGUCUUCCUCUAGUCUAUGCAUCACAUUUCGAUUUUGCCUUAAGUAUACAUAUAUACGAAUCGCCUCUAUACGAUUGUAUUGCUAUAUUUAGCAUUCUUUGACAGUGUCGACGACUGUCUAAUUGUUAUCGCUUGGGGAUAAUUUUAAAAUGAUAUGUUUUUUGAUCGACUGUUGAAAAGUAGCUAGCCUAAUUAUAUAUACAGUACUUGUGUUCUAUUUAGAUUAUUUAAGCAUCAUAUUCAUUGAUGUUAGGGCUUCAAAAUUGUCAAAGUAGUGAUUAGCGUAUUUUGCUCCCCAUUCUAUGUAAAACAUAUAGCUCUCUGAUAUUACUUUAAGGUACGUUUAAGUGUACUUUUAUGGUCCGUACCUGUGGAUGGAUCUGCGCAAAAAACUUUAAUAAUAAUAUAUAUAUUUGGAUUAAACAUAUAAUGAUAUAUUCUUAUUAAAGUAUCAUGUCCAUUUUUAUAGUAUUCCAUAAAAAUUUAUGCAAUGGAUGAAAUGGUGCAAUUUAAAAAAAAACAUUGCGUUUUAUGAAAUUAAUUAAAAUUAAAGCAAUUUUUAUGCUUUAUUUUAAGUUCUUGUUUGGCCACUGUUAUAGAAUACCAAAAAGGCUUGUCCCAAUUCCGCAGAGUUAACCCGUUAAGACCUACUCUUCCAAGUAGAACUUCAUUAUAAAAUCACUUGUAAAAUAAACGAUUUUUAAUCAUUUAAGUAUUUUGUAUACAUUUCCAUAAUAGACUUCUCGAUGUUAAUAGUAAAUCAAUAGCAAGUUUCUGGUGUUAGACCAAUAUACGCUUAAAUAAUCGUAAAUUAGAAGUAAUAUUUUAAUUAAUUAAACAUAAAAUCAUUGUAAAUAUGUGAAGGCCAUCUCCGCUGUGAAUUUUAAUCAUGUUCUCACUUUCCCGUCUUCUUAUCAAUAUGGGAAUGUUCAUUCCUUUUUUUACUCUUUAGCCGAUACUUAGGUGAUAACUAAAUACGAGCACUUUGAAUAGUGUUCAUCGCCGCCCAUAGACAUCUGCAUCCCCGAGGGGAUCACGAGUGUGUUGCUGGCCUUUGAGGGAAUAUCUCUAGUGGCAGCUGAUUCCACCAUGAGGCAGUGCGCGGCGGAAUGUGUUAAAAACCGCUCUGUCGUGGAACGAGGUGAUUAGGACGGACUUUAGUUGUGAAAACCUAAGAAUGGUAUUGUUUUGUAAGUAAUUAGUAUAUAUUUAUUCAGUAUUACUUAGACUGACCUAAUAUUCUCUCGAAAUAGAUUAUUGUUACGUGAAAUAGGUUCUAUAUAGCGAAACAACUGCAAAAUAAACUUGGUUUACACAUUUUUGAACGAAUUUCGCUAUUGAGAAUAAGUACGUUAAUGCCGGAGAAUAUUUUUUCAAUUGAAAGUGUGCCUGGAGCUCUCACCAAAGUUGAGAACCAUAUCAUCCUUGUACCUAAGCCAAAAAUGUUUUAUCCGCAAAGUCUGUGGCGAAUACGAUUUUAAAGUGUUUUUUAUUCUGGCGGUAUUAAUAAUAAGUGUUUACCAUCACCAAGUAGUUGUUGAAUAAGAUUUGUUGUUUAUUAAUAAUAUUAAAAUGUCUCGCGACAUGUUACUUGUGUAUAACAGUUUGUGUCUAAUACUCGAAAAUACAAAACUAAACAAAGGCCGCUACGAGCUAUCGUUGUAUACUCGCUUGGCUGGCUUUUGUAUAUUCGAGCAUUUUCAAGAUCUCAUAAAUUAAUAUUGAAACAUAAAUUAAUAAUGAAUUUCACACGUUUGUCCUGUGUUGUAUAUAUAGACUUUAAAAGUACCUUAUGGUCCCUGUUUCUUACGAUUUCAAAAAUCCUAUUUUCAUUCUCAAAUACAUUUUUUUCGACUAACAAUAUUAUUAUUUUUCUUCACCCCUGUUCGGAAUUUUUAAUAAAUUUCAGAUUUCGUUAGAAUUGUCGACUUAAUUAAAGUUUAAUAAUUUUGUCUCAAUAAACAUUUAUAUGUUGCAUUUCUAUAUCUUCCAAUACAUUUCACAUAGUAGGGUUAUAAUCCAUAAUUCAAGUGUUUAAUUAGCUGUAAGAGUAGAACUUUAAGUACGCGUUUUAGAUAAUCAUUUCAACGCCAAGUAGUCGACUUUUCUACUCGAGAAUUUUGAAGUUUUGCCAAAAAAUGUUUUAAUUCUCUAAGCCCAAAUGGUAACAAAAGGAAUAAAAUCUGCAUAAUAUCACUUUUAAAAAUUAUUAUUUGUUAUUAAUGUUUAUAACUAAUUAUCAUAUCUGAAAAUGAUAUUUGCAGAUCCGUCAUUCUUUUUGGUAACAUAAAACAACCAACAGAAAAAUAAUAUUAAGGAAUGUUUUUUUUUUCAUAAUGUUUAUAUGAAUGUGAUACAAGUCUUGAGUAUGGUCUAGAUUGUCUACUGAAUAAUAAAAUCAUUUGAAUCAAAA